RNAcentral lists this ribosomal RNA (492 nucleotides) under uncultured bacterium. Its description in RNAcentral is "partial 16S ribosomal RNA". It matches the Rfam family "Bacterial small subunit ribosomal RNA", at positions 29 to 507 of the family's 1533-position model. The record is from RNAcentral.
AGUGAACGCUGGCGGUAGGCCUAACACAUGCAAGUCGAACGGCAGCACAGUAAGAGCUUGCUCUUACGGGUGGCGAGUGGCGGACGGGUGAGGAAUACAUCGGAAUCUACUUUUUCGUGGGGGAUAACGUAGGGAAACUUACGCUAAUACCGCAUACGACCUACGGGUGAAAGCAGGGGAUCUUCGGACCCUGCGCGAUUGAAUGAGCCGAUGUCGGAUUAGCUAGUUGGCGGGGUAAAGGCCCACCAAGGCGACGAUCCGUAGCUGGUCUGAGAGGAUGAUCAGCCACACUGGAACUGAGACACGGUCCAGACUCCUACGGGAGGCAGCAGUGGGGAAUAUUGGACAAUGGGCGCAAGCCUGAUCCAGCCAUACCGCGUGGGUGAAGAAGGCCUUCGGGUUGUAAAGCCCUUUUGUUGGGAAAGAAAAGCAGCAGGUUAAUACCCCGCUGUUCUGACGGUACCCAAAGAGUAAGCACCGGCUAACUUCGUG